RNAcentral lists this ribosomal RNA (493 nucleotides) under uncultured bacterium. Its description in RNAcentral is "partial 16S ribosomal RNA". It matches the Rfam family "Bacterial small subunit ribosomal RNA", at positions 28 to 523 of the family's 1533-position model. The record is from RNAcentral.
GAUGAACGCUGGCGGCGUGCCUAACACAUGCAAGUCGAACGAAGCACCUUGCCUGAUUCUUCGGAUGAAGGUCUGGUGACUGAGUGGCGGACGGGUGAGUAACGCGUGGGUAACCUGCCCUGUACAGGGGGAUAACAGUUGGAAACGGCUGCUGAUACCGCAUAAGCGCACGAGAGGACAUCCUCUUGUGUGAAAAACUCCGGUGGUACAGGAUGGGCCCGCGUCUGAUUAGCUGGUUGGCAGGGUAACGGCCUACCAAGGCGACGAUCAGUAGCCGGUCUGAGAGGAUGAACGGCCACAUUGGAACUGAGACACGGUCCAAACUCCUACGGGAGGCAGCAGUGGGGAAUAUUGCACAAUGGGGGAAACCCUGAUGCAGCAACGCCGCGUGAGUGAAGAAGUAUUUCGGUAUGUAAAGCUCUAUCAGCAGGGAAGAUAAUGACGGUACCUGACUAAGAAGCUCCGGCUAAAUACGUGCCAGCCGCCGCCGUAA